This 265-nucleotide long non-coding RNA is filed under the name Ananas comosus (pineapple). RNAcentral's name for it is "long non-coding RNA (ACOM_LNC036108)". The record is from RNAcentral. Lineage: Eukaryota; Viridiplantae; Streptophyta; Magnoliopsida; Poales; Bromeliaceae.
GUCACGCCCCAGGACCCGGCAUAGGCCCUGUCCGGUGCGUGCCCAGACCCGCCAUAUGUCUGCACAUAUAAGGCGUCUACAACAAGGGAUAUGAAGAUAGGAAUAAACAGUAACUAACGAUAUCAGAGCAAGUAUACAGCUAAGUUCUAUCAAUAAGUGGAAGUAAAAAGAAAGAAAAGGGCUAAACCAUUAGAGUAUAAUAGAAACUAAUACAUCAAACAUCUCCAGAUACAAAAGUAGGGUGGUCUCUAUAACAAGGUACAAA